UCUACGGGUGGCAGCAGUGAGGAAUAUUGGUCAAUGGGCGCGAGCCUGAACCAGCCAAGUAGCGUGAAGGAUGACUGCCCUACGGGUUGUAAACUUCUUUUAUAAAGGAAUAAAGUGAGGCACGUGUGCCUUUUUGUAUGUACUUUAUGAAUAAGGAUCGGCUAACUCCGUGCCAGCAGCCGCGGUAAUACGGAGGAUCCGAGCGUUAUCCGGAUUUAUUGGGUUUAACGGGAGCGUAGAUGGGUUGUUAAGUCAGUUGUGAAAGUUUGCGGCUCAACCGUAAAAUUGCAAUUGAUACUGGCAGUCGUGAGUACAGUUGAGGUAGGCGGAAUUCGUGGUGUAGCGGUGAAAUGCUUAGAUAUCACGAAGAACUCCGAUUGCGAAGGCAGCUUACUAAACUGCCACUGACAUUGAUGCUCGAAAGUGUGGGUAUCAAACAGGAUUAGAUACCCGAGUAGUC
Molecule: ribosomal RNA, 460 nt
Filed under: uncultured bacterium
Lineage: Bacteria
Description: partial 16S ribosomal RNA
Rfam family: Bacterial small subunit ribosomal RNA
Source: RNAcentral